CCCUACGCAGACAACUCAGCUCAAUUCACUAAAUUAAAAAAAUUCAGUCACAGCACAAGAAAUUUCCACUUUAAAGGAAUCGAAACAUCCCCACCACGCAACCCUAGAAAUGCAUUUCUACUCUAUGAAACAAUCCUGGAUGCUCAGCCCACAACAUCGGAAGCUCCGAUUCAGCGAAAGCCCUUGUCUGGAUGUGCUGGAGCAGCCCAAGUCUUAAAUCUGCAGAAAUACCUGUUUUAUAUUUUUGGGAACCGCCUACUUGGAUCGCUGCCUCAUCUUUCGGCGCUUCCUCUUGAGCCUCCUCAUCCUCUUCUUCUUCCACUUGGCCCUCAUCGCGGCGGCGGAGUCGGCCUCGCUCUCCUCUUCGCGGCGGCGGAGUCGGCGGCGGAAGUGUGUGGACGAACCCGA
This 408-nucleotide ribosomal RNA is filed under the name Triticum aestivum (bread wheat). RNAcentral's name for it is "partial small subunit ribosomal RNA". The record is from RNAcentral. Lineage: Eukaryota; Viridiplantae; Streptophyta; Magnoliopsida; Poales; Poaceae.